AAUCAGAGAGGCGGGAGCGGCGGCUCAGACCCUGCCGACCUCCACCCCCCAGCUGACCACGGGGAGCUCUGCACACGCGAGAUGCUGGGGCUUCCCUGGCCCUGACUGGCUAGCCACAGGCAGGGCUGGCAGGAGAAGGCCACCGCCACCCUGCGUGUCCCAGGAGGGCACGGACAGUUGAGAGCACCCAUAGGAACGCCGCACAGUGAACGCAUGCAGGCCUCCAACCAUGGCCAGGGCCCUGCGGCGUGGCCCCGUGUCUACCUGUAAAGGUGUGGGGCAGACUUGAGGAGCUCUAACCCAGCGCCUGGGACUUCAACUUCAGCCUCGUACCUUGCUGCCAUUUGGGCCUUUCCUGCAGUCGUGUAACUGACAGUUAGACAGGUCACGGCUGGAGGCUCCCCUCGGAGCACAGGCAGCAGCUCUGCCGUGGGAGGAGCCGGCUCCGGCCCCAGAACCGGCCACUUGUAGAUGCUCGGGGCAGACAGUCAAGACUAGGGGAAGUUUGUGAGCUGGGUGACAUCUGGUUGGUCCCCUGAAAUCUGCCUCGGUGGGCAGUUACACCACAGCCAUGGGCAAAUGCUGCAAACCAGGACCCCCUCCCCAAGCUGGAUGCUCAAUGUUGUCAGCACCCUGCAUGGCAACCUCACUUCCUCCCACCCCACCCCAGAGUGGAAAGGGCUUCAAACUACACACAACACAGCUCACCCACCAAGCAUGCCAGCACGAGAGAACAUGCCUCAUCUCCAGGGGCGCCCACCUGUGCCAGCGUCUCAUCCAGGGAAGCCCCUCACACCCACCCUCUUCUAUGCCCUCCUGAGGUACUGGGACCCACCACCUGGCAAGGACCACGCCGGGCAGGAGGAGACCAGGAGGCGACAGUCAGACAGAGAAGCUGAAGAAACCAGAAGGCGUCUGUGCAAGAGAGCCCCACACAGACACUGGAAAGAACCAGGGCAACCUGCAGACCAACUCGAAAGACCUCCCCUAGGGCGACGGAAAUGAGAUGAGGCAAACAGCUUCCCGACCAGAGCCCAUGCACCUUCCACGUCUGUGCAGGGAGCUCGGGGCCACAUCCCGAGAUGGGAAAGACAACUGAGGCUUCCACAAAGAAAUUACAAUGAAACAGACACUGGCCAGGCCAGCUGAAAAUCAGUGACGGACUACGGUCCAAAUCGACGUGGAGGUUCCAACAAGAGAAGGACGGUGGUGGGGUCACCCUACCCCAGCCUGCGAGUGCCCCAGAGGGUGCACAAGCAGGACAGCCACCCUGUUGCAGAGUGUGGUGCUUUCACACCAUGUUCACCCCACCUCAGCCCUCUGGCCCAGACGUCGGUGGCUCCUCUGCCAGGUGAGGUGAGGUGAGGUGAGGUGAGGUGGGAGCAGACAGUGGAGAAACACCACAAACAGCACAGGUGGUCGGCCAGGGCCACGAGCCCUUCAGCUCACCGAUGCCGAGACCCCGCAAUCCCCACAACAAACCUGCAAGGUCAGAAUAAUUGCGCACAUGUACAGACGACUAAGCUGAGGCCCCUUCCUCCUCCACCUCCGGAAUGCCACCUGAGCGCAGAGGCUUUGGGACACAAAGCACUCAGCAGUCGGCAGUGGAGGCACAGCCUAGGAUCAAGACCCUGGGCUUCCUGUCCCAGGCUCCUCAACCUGCAGGCGGCCACACAGCAAGAGGACCCUGGGAAGUUAAAGAACGAGGCGCUCCUGCUUCCCCCACUCUCAACGGCCAGCAAGGACACAAAGGCAGCCCAGGGCAGGGCCAGCCGCCAGCCACAAGGCCCCUCCAGAACCCAAGGUCCAGUGGAGACUCCGAAAGGGCUGAUUGCAGGGCCCCCACGGGGUCCACACACCAGACACAGAGGCCACGCAGAAAGGCGCUGACCUCGCUGUGAAGAGAUGGUUUGUGCUGAGAGCUUAGCAAGGCCGUCGUCUACCGAGUGCUUCCCACCACAGCCCAUGCGCAGGCAUGAGAGUCAUGCCUCCCGCAGGCCACAGCUUCACUCAUGCAAGGACAUUCUGGGGGCCGGGACGUCCUAGCCAGUGGCUAGAACUGGGUGUGACCAUGGGCCCCCUUGGCUGGGGAGAAAAGGAGGUGCCCCUAGAUCCCAAGUCCCCUGGGGCCGCAGCAAAGGGAGGAGGACCUUGCAUCACUCCAGGGUGCCACGUGGACGAACAGAGGUAACAUUGGGAGUGUGGCUGGCAGUGUUGGACAUUCAGAACACGUCUGCCCAAAACAAACAUGGCCUUCACUUCUCCCAGCUCCCAGAAACAAAGUAAACAGAAGGAUCACGUCUGGACACCAGGGACCAGCCCGUUACAUCCCUGUCCCCCCCAGGCCAGAGCCUGACCACUCUGUGUCACCUGCCUCUACUCCUGUAGUGACUGUCAACUUUUUGGAUUUCAGAAAGCCAAACCAGCAAGGGAAGCCUUUUCCCGGGGGGUAGAGGUGUCUCUCCUACACACACCCCUACCCCAGGGUCUGAGAUGACAUCCCAAAUCAAACCCGGUAUUCUGCAGAGAUACACAAAGGUUCAAACUACAGACAGCCUUGUAUCAGCUGUAAAGGGGGGCCAGAUUUUGCUGCAAAAGAAAAAACCCAGUAUCCCCUCGCUCAGCCCACUGUGUCACCAAGAGGGAGGGUGGGCGGCUGGCCGAAGAGGGCUCCAUUUUAUAGUCCAGGAAGGGGUGGCCUGGGCCCCACAGCUGGUGGGGCAGUGGCACUGGAUCUGGAGCAAAGCUGGGCACUGGAGGCUGUGCCUUGGGCCGGUGUGCUGGCAGCGCCUGCUGGAGGAGCCAAGGGGCACUGAAUCAACACUGACUGUAUUUCCGGAACCAGAGUUAGUACUGGGGGUACGGUGGCGUUGUGGUUACAAUCUUUCAAAAGUCCUCGUCUUUCAGAGAUUUGGACUGAAAGUUCUAUGAAUGAAAUGUGUCUGGAA
Molecule: long non-coding RNA, 2948 nt
Organism: Pan troglodytes (chimpanzee)
Lineage: Eukaryota; Metazoa; Chordata; Mammalia; Primates; Hominidae
Exons: 4
Source: RefSeq, a predicted model, not a curated record